Long non-coding RNA from Bolinopsis microptera, 501 nucleotides. RefSeq lists it as uncharacterized. Lineage: Eukaryota; Metazoa; Ctenophora; Tentaculata; Lobata; Bolinopsidae. The record is from RefSeq and is a predicted model, not a curated record. The transcript is spliced from 4 exons.
AGAUUCGUCGAGCUCCUAAGCAGAUCUAGUACUAGUAGUGUACUACACAGAUCGCUCCAAAUGAACCACCUGGGGAAUAUUUCAACUUUCAGAUCGCUAUUGCUACUUGUGGGAUUCGUGCUAUUAACGAAUAAAAGCUUCCAACAGGACUUGGAGAACUCAGGACUUGAUGAUGAAGCACAAAACACAGUCAAUAAAAAUGAGGCCAGUAUUCCAGAGGAGAAUGUAGAAGUUGACCGACGGAGGAGACAGUUUUUCAGACUGAAAAGACAAUCACAUCGCCCGUCUAGAGGAAAUACUAAAUGGAAUUUUGACGGCUAUUAUGGAAGUGAGACGAAAAGGGGCCAGGAAAAGAAGGACACGGAAGAGAAAGAUACCAAGAACACAGGUGCCAACAGAAUUAGUCACUCCUGGAGAGCCAUGACACGUGCGUAGUGACUAGUGUGAAGACUGAUAUGGACUAUGAUUUUAACCCGGGCCGACUUUGUUUAUUGCCUAGAG